Molecule: ribosomal RNA, 1463 nt
Filed under: uncultured soil bacterium
Lineage: Bacteria
Description: partial 16S ribosomal RNA
Rfam family: Bacterial small subunit ribosomal RNA
Source: RNAcentral
GGAGUUUGAUCCUGGCUCACAACCAACGCUGGCGGCGUGCUUAACACAUGCAAGUCGAAGGAGAAAGUGCAUGUACCCAUGAGUGAAGUGGCUACCGGGUGAGUAGGUGCGUCUAACCUACCUCUCUGCCCUCAAUAACUCCGAUAAAACCGGGGCUAAUACCCUAAUACAUCAUGACAUUCCCAAGAAAUGCGCUUGGAGAGGGGGUCGCGGCUGGUUAUCUGAUUGGGAGGCUAACGGCCCACCAAUGCGAAGAUCGGUAUCCGGCCUGAGAGGGCGCGCGGGCACACCGGAACUGAAAGAUGGUCCAGACUCCUACUGGUGGCCGCCUUGGGGAAUUUUGCCCAAUGGGGGAAACCCUGAAUUUUCAACGCCGCGUGGAGGAUGAAGCCCCUUGGGGCGUAAACUCCUUUCCGGAAUUCGAUUCUGACACUACUGGUGGAAGAAAAAGCGGGUGACUCUGUGCCAGCAGCCGGGGUCUUACAGAGGCUGCGAAGGUUGCCCCGGAUUACUGUGCGUAAAGGGCCCCUAGGCGGUGCCACGGGUCAGCGUUGAAAUCAACUGGCUGAACUCAGAGCCUGCAAGCCAAACUGGGAUGCUGGAGUAUGGGACCUUGCGUGGCAUUCCCGGUGCGAUGGAUACUGCUGUUCAUGAGGAGUGCAACACCUAUGGCAAAUCCCGGCAAUGGACCAUAUGUGACGCUGAGGCGAGAAASCUWGGGGASCAAASMAGAUUMKYUACCCUGKUYSUSCMUSYCAUAAACGAUGAUUGGGGRGUGKARCAGGUACWCMAUCCUGCUUUGCCSWCAGGUAACUCACUAAGUGAUCAGUCUGCGGAGUGAGGCCGCUAGCUUGACACUCAAUGAAAUGAACGGGGGCCGGCCCACGCGAUCGAUCGAGCGGUUCAAUUAGAUGCAGAGCGAGGAACGUUCCUUACGCGGGCCAUACGGGCAGUAGAAACGGGAAACGGUGUCCCCUUGCUAAGUCAGGAACCUGCACAGGUGGUGCAUGGCUGUCGUCAGCUCGUGUCGUGAGGUGUUGGGUUAAGUCCCGCAACGAGCGCAACCCUCAUUCUAUGUUGCCAUCGGGUCAAGCCGGGCACUCUUAGGGAACUGCCGGGGAAGAGGUGGUGGAAGGGGAGGAUGACGUCAAGUCCUUAUGCCCUUUAUGUCCAGGGCUACACACGUGCUACAAUGGUCGAUACAGAGGGUUCCCAACCCGCAAGGGGAGGCAAUCCCACAAAGUCGGUCUCAGUUCGGAUUGCAGUCUGCAACUCGCCUGCAUGAAGUCGGAAUCGCUAGUAAUCGCAGAUCAGCAGGCUGCGGUGAAUACGUUCCCGGGCCUUGUACACACCGCCCGUCACAUCACGAAAGCCGGUUGUACCAGAAGCAGGUGAGCCAACCGCAAGGAGGCAGCCGCCCAAGGUAUAGUUCGUGAUUGGGGUGAAGUCGUAACAAGGUAACC